RNAcentral lists this ribosomal RNA (763 nucleotides) under uncultured Streptococcus sp. RNAcentral describes it as "bacterial SSU rRNA". It matches the Rfam family "Bacterial small subunit ribosomal RNA", at positions 28 to 776 of the family's 1533-position model. Lineage: Bacteria; Bacillati; Bacillota; Bacilli; Lactobacillales; Streptococcaceae. The record is from RNAcentral.
GACGAACGCUGGCGGCGUGCCUAAUACAUGCAAGUAGAACGCUGAAGGAGGAGCUUGCUUCUCUGGAUGAGUUGCGAACGGGUGAGUAACGCGUAGGUAACCUGCCUGGUAGCGGGGGAUAACUAUUGGAAACGAUAGCUAAUACCGCAUAAGAGUAGAUGUUGCAUGACAUUUGCUUAAAAGGUGCAAUUGCAUCACUACCAGAUGGACCUGCGUUGUAUUAGCUAGUUGGUGGGGUAACGGCUCACCAAGGCGACGAUACAUAGCCGACCUGAGAGGGUGAUCGGCCACACUGGGACUGAGACACGGCCCAGACUCCUACGGGAGGCAGCAGUAGGGAAUCUUCGGCAAUGGACGGAAGUCUGACCGAGCAACGCCGCGUGAGUGAAGAAGGUUUUCGGAUCGUAAAGCUCUGUUGUAAGAGAAGAACGAGUGUGAGAGUGGAAAGUUCACACUGUGACGGUAUCUUACCAGAAAGGGACGGCUAACUACGUGCCAGCAGCCGCGGUAAUACGUAGGUCCCGAGCGUUGUCCGGAUUUAUUGGGCGUAAAGCGAGCGCAGGCGGUUAGAUAAGUCUGAAGUUAAAGGCUGUGGCUUAACCAUAGUACGCUUUGGAAACUGUUUAACUUGAGUGCAAGAGGGGAGAGUGGAAUUCCAUGUGUAGCGGUGAAAUGCGUAGAUAUAUGGAGGAACACCGGUGGCGAAAGCGGCUCUCUGGCUUGUAACUGACGCUGAGGCUCGAAAGCGUGGGGAGCAAAUAGG